CCUACGGGCGGCAGCAGUGAGGAAUAUUGGUCAAUGGGCGCGAGCCUGAACCAGCCAAGUCGCGUGAGGGAUGACGGCCCUACGGGUUGUAAACCUCUUUUGCCGGGGAGCAACGCACGCCACGUGUGGCGCCUCUGAGAGUACCCGCAGAAAACGCAUCGGCUAACUCCGUGCCAGCAGCCGCGGUAAUACGGAGGAUGCGAGCGUUAUCCGGUUUGAUUGGGGUUAAGGGGUGCGUAGGCGGAAUAAUAAGUCAGUGGUAAAAUCGCGGGGCUCAACCGCUUUCCGCCGUUGAAACUGGCGCUCUUGAGUGGACGAGAAGUAUGCGGAAGGCGUGGGGUAGCGGUGAAAUGCAUAGAUAUCAUGAAGAACACCGAUGGCGAAGGCAGAAGUCCGG
Molecule: ribosomal RNA, 397 nt
Filed under: uncultured bacterium
Lineage: Bacteria
Description: partial 16S ribosomal RNA
Rfam family: Bacterial small subunit ribosomal RNA
Source: RNAcentral